This 236-nucleotide ribosomal RNA is filed under the name Staphylococcus aureus. Its description in RNAcentral is "partial 23S ribosomal RNA". It matches the Rfam family "Bacterial large subunit ribosomal RNA", at positions 751 to 985 of the family's 2925-position model. The record is from RNAcentral. Lineage: Bacteria; Bacillati; Bacillota; Bacilli; Caryophanales; Staphylococcaceae.
UUCAGGUAACACUGAAUGGAGGACCGAACCGACUUACGUUGAAAAGUGAGCGGAUGAACUGAGGGUAGCGGAGAAAUUCCAAUCGAACCUGGAGAUAGCUGGUUCUCUCCGAAAUAGCUUUAGGGCUAGCCUCAAGUGAUGAUUAUUGGAGGUAGAGCACUGUUUGGACGAGGGGCCCCUCUCGGGUUACCGAAUUCAGACAAACUCCGAAUGCCAAUUAAUUUAACUUGGGAGUC